AGCAGCCGCGGUAAUUCCAGCUCCAAUAGCGUAUAUUAAAGUUGUUGCAGUUAAAAAGCUCGUAGUUGAAUUUCGGGAUCAAUACGUUGGUCGUGCUUUCGGGUACGUACUGGCGUCAUUGGUUUCUCUCUUCUGACGAACCAUGAUGUCAUUAAUUUGGUGUUAUGGGGAGUUAGGGCUGUUACUUUGAAAAAAUUAGAGUGUUUAAAGCAGGCUCACGCUUGAAUACAUUAGCAUGGAAUAAUGAAAUAGGACGUUUGACUCUAUUUUGUUGGUUUCUAGGAUCGACGUAAUGAUUAAUAGGGAUAGUUGGGGGCAUUAGUAUUCAAUUGUCAGAGGUGAAAUUCUUGGAUUUAUUGAAGACUAACUACUGCGAAAGCAUUUGCCAAGGAUGUUUUCAUUAAUCAAGAACGAAAGUUAGGGAUCGAAGACGAUCAGAUACCGUCGUAGUCUUAACCAUAAACUAUGCCGACUAGGGAUCGGAUGAUGUUAAUUUUUUAAUGACUCAUUCGGCGCCUUA
This 520-nucleotide ribosomal RNA is filed under the name uncultured Glomus. RNAcentral describes it as "SSU rRNA". It matches the Rfam family "Eukaryotic small subunit ribosomal RNA", at positions 569 to 1090 of the family's 1831-position model. The record is from RNAcentral. Lineage: Eukaryota; Fungi; Glomeromycota; Glomeromycetes; Glomerales; Glomeraceae.